UCUAACUUAAGCAACGUAAGCCCUACCUACUCUUACGUCCUUGCGACCCCCCCUCAGCCGCGCCAGUGUGAAUAAGCAUCUUCAAAAAAAC
This 91-nucleotide small RNA is filed under the name Gracilibacillus boraciitolerans JCM 21714. Its description in RNAcentral is "BsrC". It matches the Rfam family "BsrC". Rfam says of the family: The 301 nucleotide sequence from Kouji Nakamura has been trimmed to a highly conserved ~85 nucleotide long core to form this family. Lineage: Bacteria; Bacillati; Bacillota; Bacilli; Caryophanales; Bacillaceae. The record is from Rfam by way of RNAcentral.